RNAcentral lists this ribosomal RNA (301 nucleotides) under uncultured bacterium. RNAcentral's name for it is "partial 16S ribosomal RNA". It matches the Rfam family "Bacterial small subunit ribosomal RNA", at positions 509 to 807 of the family's 1533-position model. The record is from RNAcentral.
CAGUCGCCGCGGUAAUACAGAGGGUGUGAGCGUUAAUCGGAUUUACUGGGCGUAAAGCGUGCGUAGGCGGCUUCUUAAGUCGGAUGUGAAAUCCCUGAGCUUAACUUAGGAAUUGCAUUCGAUACUGGGAAGCUAGAGUAUGGGAGAGGAUGGUAGAAUUCCAGGUGUAGCGGUGAAAUGCGUAGAGAUCUGGAGGAAUACCGAUGGCGAAGGCAGCCAUCUGGCCUAAUACUGACGCUGAGGUACGAAAGCAUGGGGAGCAAACAGGAUUAGAUACCCGCGUAGUCCCUGUCUCUUAUAC